RNAcentral lists this ribosomal RNA (468 nucleotides) under uncultured bacterium. Its description in RNAcentral is "partial 16S ribosomal RNA". It matches the Rfam family "Bacterial small subunit ribosomal RNA", at positions 28 to 507 of the family's 1533-position model. The record is from RNAcentral.
GAUGAACGCUGGCGGCGUGCUUAACACAUGCAAGUCGAACGGUGAAGGCGGAGCUUGCUCUGCUGGAUCAGUGGCGAACGGGUGAGUAACACGUGAGCAAUCUGCCCCUGACUCUGGGAUACGCGCUGGAAACGGCGUCUAAUACUGGAUACGAGCUGCGAAGGCAUCUUCAGCAGCUGGAAAGAAUUUCGGUCAGGGAUGAGCUCGCGGCCUAUCAGCUUGUUGGUGAGGUAAUGGCUCACCAAGGCGUCGACGGGUAGCCGGCCUGAGAGGGUGACCGGCCACACUGGGACUGAGACACGGCCCAGACUCCUACGGGAGGCAGCAGUGGGGAAUAUUGCACAAUGGGCGAAAGCCUGAUGCAGCAACGCCGCGUGAGGGACGACGGCCUUCGGGUUGUAAACCUCUUUUAGCAGGGAAGAAGCGAAAGUGACGGUACCUGCAGAAAAAGCGCCGGCUAACUACGUG